UGGGCUCGAACGUAAGAUGACUGUAGGUGAAAGCUUUACAUCUCUUCGGAGCAUUUUACGAGGUGCUGCAUGGUUGUCGUCAGCUCGUGCCGUGAGGUGUCGGGUUAAGUCCCAUAACGAGCGCAACCCCUACCUUUAGUUGCCAUCAGGUAAUGCUGGGGACUCUAAAGGAACUGCCUACGCAAGUAGUGAGGAAGCGGGGAUGACGUCAAAUCAGCACGGCCCUUACGUCCAGGGCUACACACGUGCUACAAUGGCCGAUACAGAGGGCAGCUACCUGGUGACAGGAUGCAAAUCUCCAAAGUCGGUCUCAGUUCGGAUCGGAGUCUGCAACCCGACUCCGUGAAGUUGGAUUCGCUAGUAAUCGCGCAUCAGCCAUGGCGCGGUGAAUACGUUCCCGGGCCUU
RNAcentral lists this ribosomal RNA (406 nucleotides) under uncultured Sphingobacteriales bacterium. Its description in RNAcentral is "bacterial SSU rRNA". It matches the Rfam family "Bacterial small subunit ribosomal RNA", at positions 976 to 1382 of the family's 1533-position model. Lineage: Bacteria; Pseudomonadati; Bacteroidota; Sphingobacteriia; Sphingobacteriales. The record is from RNAcentral.